Molecule: ribosomal RNA, 260 nt
Filed under: uncultured archaeon
Lineage: Archaea
Description: partial 16S ribosomal RNA
Rfam family: Archaeal small subunit ribosomal RNA
Source: RNAcentral
ACGUCUACAUUAGAUACCCCCUGUAGUCCUAGCCGUAAACGAUACUCGCUAGGUGUCGGCCACGGUGCGACCGUUGUCGGUGCCGUAGGGAAGCCGUGAAGCGAGCCACCUGGGAAGUACGGCCGCAAGGCUGAACUUAAGGAUUGCGGGGGAGCACAACAACGGGUGGAGCCUGCGGUUUAAUUGGAUUCAACGCCGGAAAUCUUACCGGGACCGACAGCAACAUGAAGGCCAAGCUGAAGACUUUGCCGGAUUAGCUG